AUGCAUCUAUCAAAACUCAUUUGAUAAAUGUAGUGUUUCCACUGCAGAUGUAAGAAUAUAAAGUUCCUUUUCACACUAUCUACCUGUCUGGUUGUGGCAACCAAGAUUGAAUGGGGGAAUACAGGA
This 126-nucleotide small nucleolar RNA is filed under the name Dasypus novemcinctus (nine-banded armadillo). RNAcentral's name for it is "Small nucleolar RNA SNORA31 (ENSDNOG00000029689.2)". Lineage: Eukaryota; Metazoa; Chordata; Mammalia; Cingulata; Dasypodidae. The record is from RNAcentral.